CGCCAGAUAAGUUACCAGAGGCAUGGUUAAGUGGGAAACGAUGUGGGAAGGCACAGACAGCCAGGAUGUUGGCUUAGAAGCAGCCAUCAUUUAAAGAAAGCGUAAUAGCUCACUGGUCGAGUCGGCCUGCGCGGAAGAUGUAACGGGGCUAAACCAUGCACCGAAGCUGCGGCAGCGGACGUAUCACCCAAGCAGAUUCACUGAAGUGGAUAACGAUUGACGGAGCGCAGCGACGUCAAUGCGCCAUCAAAGUCGAGUCGGCUUCGGGAUACGUCCGUUGGGUAGGGGAGCGUUCUGGAAGCGGUCGAUGAUGG
This 314-nucleotide ribosomal RNA is filed under the name Erwinia amylovora. RNAcentral's name for it is "partial 23S ribosomal RNA". It matches the Rfam family "Bacterial large subunit ribosomal RNA", at positions 1033 to 1259 of the family's 2925-position model. The record is from RNAcentral. Lineage: Bacteria; Pseudomonadati; Pseudomonadota; Gammaproteobacteria; Enterobacterales; Erwiniaceae.